RNAcentral lists this ribosomal RNA (253 nucleotides) under uncultured Acidobacteriota bacterium. RNAcentral describes it as "uncultured Acidobacteria bacterium partial 16S ribosomal RNA". It matches the Rfam family "Bacterial small subunit ribosomal RNA", at positions 524 to 776 of the family's 1533-position model. The record is from RNAcentral. Lineage: Bacteria; Pseudomonadati; Acidobacteriota.
UACAGAGGGUGCGAGCGUUGUUCGGAAUUAUUGGGCGUAAAGGGCGCGUAGGCGGUGCCACAAGUCACUUGUGAAAUCCCCGGGCUUAACUCGGGGCCUGCAGGCGAAACUGUGGUGCUGGAGUAUGGGAGAGGUGCGUGGAAUUCCCGGUGUAGCGGUGAAAUACGUAGAUAUCGGGAGGAACACCUGUGGCGAAAGCGGCUCACUGGACCACAACUGACGCUGAGGCGCGAAAGCUAGGGGAGCAAACAGG